AUGGGGAGGGGAAGGGUUGAGCUGAAGCGUAUCGAGAACAAGAUCAACCGGCAGGUCACCUUCUCCAAGCGCCGCAACGGCCUGCUCAAGAAGGCCUACGAGCUCUCCGUGCUCUGCGACGCCGAGGUGGCGCUCAUCAUCUUCUCCAGCCGCGGCAAGCUCUACGAGUUCGGCAGCGCCGGCACAACAAAAACAUUGGAAAGAUACCAACACUGCUGCUAUAAUGCUCAAGAUUCCAAUGGGGCACUAUCUGAAACUCAGAGCUGGUACCAGGAAAUGUCAAAGCUAAAGGCAAAAUUCGAAGCGUUGCAGCGAACUCAGAGACACUUGCUUGGGGAGGACCUUGGACCGCUCAGCGUGAAAGAACUGCAGCAGCUGGAGAAACAGCUAGAAUGUUCUCUGUCACUGGCCAGACAGCGAAAGACACAACUUAUGAUGGAGCAGGUGGAGGAACUUUGCAGGAAGGAGCGUCAGCUGGGAGACAUCAACAGGCAACUCAAGCACAAGCUCGAUGCUGAAGGCAGCAACAGCAACAACUACAGGGCCAUGCAGCAGAUCUCCUGGGCUGCCGGCACCGUCGUGGACGAGGGCGCCGCCGCAUAUCACAUGCAGCAGCAUCAGCAACACCCUAAUCAUUCCGCUGCUAUGGACUGUGAACCCACUCUGCAAAUUGGGUACCUACGAUCGAGCACCUUGCAUACACCUGUUCCGUCUUCCAUCCAUGCAACUGAACUGACAUUAUAUAUGCCGCAGGUACCAUCAUCAGUUCACGGCUCCUGA
RNAcentral lists this ribosomal RNA (780 nucleotides) under Triticum aestivum (bread wheat). RNAcentral's name for it is "partial small subunit ribosomal RNA". The record is from RNAcentral. Lineage: Eukaryota; Viridiplantae; Streptophyta; Magnoliopsida; Poales; Poaceae.